CAACACUGUAAAUCGACUAUACUUCAAUUAAAAAAAAAAUCUUAAGGAGUUUCCACUGUGGCAUAGCAGAAACAAAUCCGACUAGGAACCAUGGUGUUGAGGGUUCCAUUCCUGGCCUCACUCAGUGGGUUAGGGAUCUGGUGUUGCCGUGAGCUGUGGUUUAGUUUGUAGACGCGGUUUGGAUCUGGCGUUUCUGUGGUUGUGGCAUGGGCCAGCUCCGAUUAGACCCCUAGCCUAGGAACCUCCAUGUGCUGCUGCUGGUGUGGCCCUAAAAAGACCAAAAAAAAAAAAAAAAAAAAAAAAUCUUGAGUUCUUUCUAUUGCAUAUGCAACAGUUGUUUAUAAGUACAGAGAAGCAAAAACAAGGAAUAAAAGUUUAUAACUUCACUAUUUAGCAGUAAUCAUUAGUAAGGUCUUUUAAGAUGAACUUCAUAAGAGGUGACCGUUUUCAUAUUUAUCCUGUGUAUGUUUUGGUAAGUUUAUUCAUAACUUUUAAUUUUGUAUUGUUAAUAUGAACUUUAGAAUUUUUCUUCGGGGUUUUUUGGUAUAAAAACAAGUUAUUCAUUUUUCUCUAUUUUAUUGGCUUCCUAACUGAACUCUUUAUUAACUCUAACUGAACUCUUAAUGUAACACACAAAAUAGUGAAUAGAAUAGCAUGAGCAAAGUCAUGAAAGUGUGAAACAGACUGAUGUUGCAUGUAGUAUGGUAUUACCAGAGGCAUAAAUGAAAAUGUCAGGGAGAGAUUGGAAGUGAGGCUAGGGAGGAGUGAGAUCAUUAAGAUUUUUUCUUGGUAUGCUUAGGUACUUGAAUUUUAUCCUAAAAGUGAUAACUAUUUUAAAGGAUUUUAAACUAAUCUGGUGUGGUUAAAUUAGUAUUUAAAAUGAACUAGUCUGGCUGUAGGAUGGUGUAUUGAAUUGAAGGAAAUAAGAAGUCUAGGAGACUGUUGAGGUAGUCAUGGGGACAUGGGGGGCUUUAUUAGGCAGUGUGAGUAGGAUUUGAGAGAAAGGGGGUAGAUUUCAGAUACAUUGUAAAAUUGGCAAGAUUUUUAGGAGGAGUCAAGGCUGAUCUCAGGGUUUCUGAUUUUCCAGCUUGGGUGAUGAGAUGAUUCCAUUAGAAGAGAUGAGUCAUUUGGAGGAAAACAUAAUUUUACAAUUUAGUUUUAUUAAGUUUCUUUUUUUGAAAGACAAGGAGGUGAGGAUACUAUUGGGAAGCUCAGUUUAUGGACUGUCAUGGCAGAAGUCACAAUUUUGCAGCUGAGAAAACAUAUACCAGAAGAAGUAGUUAAAUAAAAUCUGAAAUAAGAUUUUGAAGUCAUCAAGUACUUUAAAAAUUGGCAUAAACAACCUUUUAAACUGUCCAGUAUAUCUGAAGGAUGCACCACAUCCUCAUGGAUCCUAGUCAGGUUUGUUAACCACUGAACCAUGAUGGGAACUCCCGUAGUGAUUUUUUUUUUUUUUCUUUUUUGAAAGAGUAGUUCAGCAGAUAAUUAGGGCUAAAAGAAAAGAAAAGAAAAACCUAGAGUGGGGAAUGAGAAGCAAGGAGGUGGGAGCAGUGAAUAUAAGACGAUUUUCUAGGAAGGAAGACAGAGACUGUGGUACUUAGCGACAGUCUUCGCGGGUUUUUUCUUCUCAUAUUUGGCUACCCUGUGGCAUAUGGAGUUCCUGGGCCAGGGAUCAGAUCUGAUCUGCAGAUGUGACCUGCUCUGCAGCUUUGACCUAAGCCGCAGCUCUGUCAAUGUCAGAUCCUUAUUAACUCACUGUAUCUGUCUGGGUAUCAAACCUGUGUCCCAGUGCUCCAGAGACACUGCUGAUCCUGUUGCACCACAGCAGGAACUCCCAGUCUUUAUGUUCUCAGUGAUAGAGGAUACUUAAAUGAUUUACUGGCUUAGGGGUAGAGAUUUCGGAGAAUGAAAUAUUGACGUGAGGGAGAUUAGAGCAAGAACAAGAGGAAGGAUACCAUGUUUUCUGAGAUAAUAUUAAAGAAUGGAUAAUUGAGAGACAGGCAAUAAGUUGAACAGAUAGUUCAUAAUUAAUGACUGCCUUUUUUUUUUUUUUUGAUCUUCAGGGAAGGUAGAGGUUGCCCAAGGGAAAGUAUCUUAAGAUUAAAAUUUGGAAGAGUUGUUGAAGAGAAUGGGAGAGGAACCUACUAUAGACAAAUAAAAAUACUGCUUUAGUGGGAUUAUGAUUCUACCUGAAAUUGUAGACCAGAAUUUAGAGUUGUAUCAAUUUUCAUGUCUCUGUGGUACUUUUCCAGCAUUGCUCAAUAGCUUGGAUGUUUAAGAGAAGAUAGUUUGUGGAAUUAUUUUAGGCUUAGACUUUUACAUGAUGGGUCCCACAGAAGGACCAAUGGUAAAAAGUGUUGAUGAAGAAGUGUUUUAAGGAGAUCAUUCAAAUAUAGGCUUACCAAGAAAAGGAGAUGACAGAGGGACCAGCUAGACAAUGCAAAGUGCUAUGUUCUGUGUAUAAUGUUGGGGAGCAGAUAUAAGGAUAGUGUGGGCAUGAGAGAGCUGUGAAUAUCGGAAGAUUGGGUCAGAUUAGUUAAGUGUUUGGCUGUGAAAAUUGUUAGAUGAAACCCAAAGGCUGUGUUUGAAGGUCUUUGAAUUGAAAAAGUUCAGGAAUAUUGAGACUUGGGUUUUUAGAUAAAUGAUGCAUGUGGUGAUGAGACAUAUAAGGGCAGAAUUCUGACCAAGAUGCAGACAUCUUCAGCGAGUGUGAAGAGCAGUGGUAGGUGAUCAGGAAGUGAAUAAUGCCACUGAUGAGGAAGAUUAGAGCCUGUACACACUUGGAGAGCAGGAGUGCUAAUAGUAACUCAGAGAAUUCAGACUGUGGGAGAAUUCAGACUGUGGGAAGAUAGACAGUUUUCUGCUGUCUUCUAGAUAGCUAAGAUGUUUCUAUACACUGUUCAAGACCUUGAGUCUCAUAAAGCUUAAAACAGUCGUGUAUAAAUAAAAAACAAGGCAGUUUUAUAAAUAGGUGUCAUGAAUCACAUGGGUAAUAAAUAAUCUAGGAAACUUUUGAAGGGAAGAUUUAUCAAUUCUGUGAAUGCAACAUUUGAGAUGUUAAGAGAUAGAGAAAUAUGGAAAAAGAAGGGGUGGUGGUGUAGGUGAAAUGGAGGUGGAGAGUGGUAUGAGCACAGGCAGUUGGAAAUGAAGACAACAAAACUUAGCAUUUUUUACCUGAAAUAGAGUAUGGGGGUGGGCUGGUUGGAGAAGAAAGAUUGUAGUUUUAGCACUAAAACCUACACCUUCCUGUGUUUCACCUUUUCACCAAAUUUCUCCCAACAAAAACCUAACUAGCGCUUUUGGAGGUGGGGAGAUAAAAGAUGUAGCUCUUGAGUAGUAUCAAGGGAGACUUUUAGUAUAAUUUAGGUUUGCUAUUCAGUAUGUUCAAUAACUUUGGGAUUUUAUACAAAACAUUAGUUUUCCAGAUAUGUGUCCCAGACAUUGAAAUCAUUCAUACUGUACAAAUUCUAAUUAGUUGAGGUUUUGCUCUAGUUUCUACAGUACCCAGUAUAAUAGGAGCAUGUGACAGAAAUACUGCAUGUCUUUGAGAACUGAAAUCUAAGAAAUGAAUCUAGUAAACUGGUAAUUAAAUCCAACAGUCUGCAUUAAACUUGGUCAUUGUGGUAAACUGUUUCAAGCUACAACAAUGGUAAUACCGUAGAAUUUUGUACAGUAGUUUUUGCAUCUUCACUACUUCUCUGAAUCACUACUGUUGGAGAUAGUGAGCUUGGCAGUGGAGAACACUAGAGAAGUAAAGAGGAGAAACCUGAUCAGAGGUAUCUGUGGUAUAUUUGAUCAAGGUGAUGCCUGGGUAGCUGGCAGGCUUGGUGCUCCAGUGAGCAGUGAUGAAAGGGUAUGGUUAUGAUUAUUCUGGGACUUUUAUACAUAUUCUUCACCUUACUUUCUGUUCCAUCCCUAGUUUCAGUGGAAUAUGGAGCAGCUUUCUAUUGGGGGAAUAUUCUAAGUCUGUUCUUCAAUCUCUGCUAAAGUUUUUUUCCUUCUUAAGUUAAUUAUCUCCUAAUUAUGGAGCAUAUUAUUUAUUAACAGUAAAUAUACAACUGUAUAAUCGACAACUUUGUAUUUAACAACAACAGGGAGUCUUGAUUUAGCCUACAAUUAUUAAUUGUCCUUUGAGACUUACUGUUUGUGAUCAGCAAAGUUUCAUUGUACAGUUGUGGGCUAUACAAAUUUAUUUAUUUUUUAAUUUAAUUUAAUUAAAAAAAUUUUUUAAUUGUUAUUUCCCCAAUACAAUUUUUUCCUUGCUGUACAACAUGGUGACCCAGUUACACAUAUAUGUUUACAUUCUUUUCUCUCCCAUUAUUAUGCUCCAUCAUAAGUGACUAGACAUAGUUCUCAGUGCUUCGGGCUAUACAAAUGUAAAUUACCCAACAUUGAAAUAGCAUAAUACAGAAAGUUGUCUUAACAUUUUGAUGUACAAAAUUUGAUAGAAGACUCUUAAAGUACUAAAAAAUUCUUUAAAAAUCCUAUAAUUUUAAAGUUGGUAUGCUUAAUAAAUUGUAAACUGUACACUUGCCAUGUGGUCAUAUCACUUAAGUAAACUACCUUCCCUCCUUUGUUAAGAAUAGUCACACUGUUGGGGUUCCCGUCAUGGCUCAGUGGUUAACGAAUCUGACUAGGAGCCAUGAGGUUGGGGGUUCUAUCCCUGGCCUCGCUCAGUGGGUUAAGGAUCCGGCAUUGCCGUGAACUUUGGUGUGGAUCACAGACGCGGCUCGGAUCCCGUGUUGCUGUGGCUGUGGUGUAGGCCAGCGGCUGCCCCUCCAAUUCGACCCCUAGCCUGGGAAUCUCCAUAUGCUGCCAGAGUAGCCCAAGAAAUAGCGUGCAUGCACACACACAUACACACACAUAAGUGGCCCAAGAAAUAGUGCACACAUGCACGCACGCACGCGCGCGCACACACACACACAGUCACACUGCUCCAACCUCUUAUAUUGGCCAUUACACUUUGCAAAUCCUGCAAGUCUUAGCUGAAAUGUUACCCCCUCAGAAAGUCUACAACCAUCCUCUUAAAGUACUUUAUCACCUCACAAAAUCUGAAAUUGUCAUGUUUAUCUCUUUAUUUAUUGUCUGAUUCUGUGUACUAGAGAUACUAGCUUCUUUAAAAAAGAGAUUUUGGAUUUCCCUCUGUCAUGCAGUGGGUUAAGGAUCCGGCCAGCAUUGCUGCAGCUGUGGCAUAGGCCACAGAUGGGACUCAGUUUUGAUCCCUGGCUCAGGAACUUCCAUAUAUGCCAAGGUGAGCCCGAAAAA
This 5265-nucleotide long non-coding RNA is filed under the name Sus scrofa (pig). Its description in RNAcentral is "lncRNA (ENSSSCG00025024824.1)". The record is from RNAcentral. Lineage: Eukaryota; Metazoa; Chordata; Mammalia; Artiodactyla; Suidae.